Long non-coding RNA from Beta vulgaris subsp. vulgaris (sugar beet), 774 nucleotides. RefSeq lists it as uncharacterized. The record is from RefSeq and is a predicted model, not a curated record. Lineage: Eukaryota; Viridiplantae; Streptophyta; Magnoliopsida; Caryophyllales; Amaranthaceae. The transcript is spliced from 2 exons.
UUAGGAAUAGGGGUUUUCAAUAUACAAUGUGCGGUUGUCCUCACUAUAUAUGUCUCUCUCACUCCUUCCCUCUUCCCUCAUCGUGCACCGUCUCCCUCAUUUCCUUUUCCUCAUCUCCCCACACAUUCUCGUUCUUCAUCCUCGUUCUCCUCCCUAAUUUUCGUUCUUCGUCAUUCUUCAAUCCUCCCUCACCAGACGAAGUCUUCGUCGAGAUUUCCCUAAUCCUCACUAAUCGAAGCCCGCGCUCGUCGUUCCUCGCAAAGCUUCGGUCGUCGUUCAGAUCGAAGACUUGAGCCUUCGAAGUCUGCGCUCAUCGUUCCUCGCGAAGCCUUCUGUCGUCGUUCAUAUCGAAGACUUGACCCUUCGAAGCCCACGCUCGUCGUUCCUCGCGAAGCCUUCGUCGUUCCUCUCGAAGCCUUCGUCGUUCCUCGCGCUUGAAGCCUUCGUCGUUUAGAUCUUGUUUUCAUCAGAUUUUGGUCGUCCUCCUUUUCGCUGUUCGUCCUCCUUUUCGCUGGUCACCGGACGUUGAAUCGCUCGAGUUCUUGGCGAUAUUACAGUUUCAUUUUUCAGCUUCUGAUUCUUGUUUUUGGGUUUUUUAUUUUUUCAAUAUUGUUCUUAUUAUAUUUUUUGUAAUUAGUCAUUAAGUUGUAACUGCUUUUUUUUAAUUUUUGCUUUUUCAUUUUACUUUUUGAUCUUUUGUAUUAUUUAUGUAAGUAUGUAACUAGUUCUUUUUAUUUUUAUAUAUUAAUCAGAUUCAUGUCAUUUUAUCUUCAA